Eptesicus fuscus (big brown bat) is the source of this 853-nucleotide long non-coding RNA. RefSeq lists it as uncharacterized. NCBI's taxonomy places the organism in Eukaryota, Metazoa, Chordata, Mammalia, Chiroptera, Vespertilionidae. The transcript is spliced from 4 exons. The record is from RefSeq and is a predicted model, not a curated record.
AGUCAGAAGUCCCUAUAGACUACACAAGAAACAACUGUUUUUGCCGUAAGAAAAUUUAGUUCUUCCUCUCAUUCAUUCCAAAACAGAUUAAUGGUUUUUAUUUAUAUAGUGGAGAAGGAAACAACCCCUCUGAUAAAAAAAAAAACAAACCUGCAACUAUUUAGCUUCUCUUAACAGAGCCUUCAGGAGAAGAUGCCACAGGGAAAUGCUGCUCUCAAGUGACACUGAUCAGAGCAUCAUCUCCACACAGAACUCCGGGUGACACAAGAGAUGCUCAGAGAAAAAAAGGUAUAACUGACAAAAGGUCACAGGUCAAGAGUGAGGUAAGAGAAAACAAUAAACUUCCCAUGUAAAAAAGAAGGUGGUUUCCUACAUCCAAAUUCUCACAUGGAGCCAUGAGAGCCUUCAGAAGAUGCCAAUGGGUCCAGGUGAGGCCACGCACCCCUGGGUCCAGGUGAGGCCACGCGCCCCUGGACCCAGGUGAGGCUGGGUCCCUGGGCCCGGGUGAGGCCACGCGCCCCUGGGUCCGGGUGAGACCACGCGACACUGGACCCAGAUGAGGCUGGGUCCCUGGGCCCGGGUGAGGCCUUGCGCCCCUGGGUACGGGUGAAGCCGGAUCCUGGGUCCGGGUAAGGCCGUGUGCCCCUGGAUCCAUCCGGGUGAGGCUGGGUCCCGGGCCCGGGUGAGGCCACGCGCCCCUUGGGUCUGGGUGAGGCCACGUGCCCCUUAGUCCGGGUGAAGCCGUGCCCCUGGGUCCGGCCGAGACCAAACCAGAGGGAGUCGGACCUCCGUUACCACCAUUUGUCCACCAUCCAGAGCAGAGGGGUCAGUGCUGACAUGUACACAUAAGGAA